This is a long non-coding RNA of Fundulus heteroclitus (mummichog), 276 nucleotides long. RefSeq lists it as uncharacterized. Lineage: Eukaryota; Metazoa; Chordata; Actinopteri; Cyprinodontiformes; Fundulidae. The transcript is spliced from 2 exons. The record is from RefSeq and is a predicted model, not a curated record.
GAUAACAAGGAGAGCUCCUUCAUCUGCGAGUUGGAAAACCGUGUCAGCAACAGCUCCAGUGAUGGAGUUGAUAACCCCCUUAGCAGUGGGAAUCCUGGAGCAGCGGCUGGACUGGCUGUAGCCAUUGUGUUCUUGAUUGUGGUUCUUGCUGUGGUUGGACGUUUUGUCUCUUAUUGGUGCAAAAAAGGUAAGAAUGCACUAAAACGUCACAGUUUCCUGUGUUAUUAUAACGCCUUUUCAAGUUCCCUGUCUUCCUCCUUUUGAUCAUAAAAACAA